UUGACCGAUAGGUGGCGCCGUUAUCAUUCAGUCAAGAAACUAACAUGGCGGAUCGUGAAGAUGACGACGAAGUUCCUACCAAAGGAAUAGAUUCCGAAUUUCUUUAUUAGAAUGUUAUGGAAUUAUUUAUGUCUUUGUUUGUCGAUACCGAAGGGCUUCCAACAUCAAAGAUUACUAACCAAAACUUUAUAAUUGGAGAAUCAAAGCGAAAGGUAGGAUAUUUUCCUUCGCUUCUGCUACAUCUUUGAAUAACACAAUUCAAGUAAAUCAGAAAAACAUGGACCUUUGGAAGGAUAAAAAACAUUAUAUAUUAUUGAUUGCAACAGUAUGUGCUUGUUACUUUAAUGCUCUAGAAUGUGAUUUUGUUUUUGAUGACAUGUCAGCUAUAAGAGAUAACAAAGAUCUUAGACCAACUACACCAUUAUGCAACAUAUUUUUAAAUGAUUUUUGGGGAACUCCUAUACAAAAAGUAAGUAAAAUUGCUUAGAAUAUUAAUUUAGUUUGUUAUGUAAUUAUACAUUUUAAAAUUAAAUAAUAUUCAAUAUAUAAUUCAGCUAUUUUGAGUAAAUUUGAUUGUAAACAGAUUUAUAUGAACAACUUUUAAUUAUAUAAUUUAUAACCUCCUUUGAUUUGUUACAUUAGCACAAUAUAUUAAAACCAAAAGUUAUCAUAGAAUGUUUUUAAUCUGAAUGAAUUUUUGUCAGAUGAGCUAUUAUAGAAUUUUCCUUCAUAAACUGUCAUUCUAAGAUACUAUUUUUGUAACUCAGAAACAUUAUACCUUCAUAGGUCAUUAUACUUCAUCUGUCCAGAAGCUUUAUUGCUGAUUAUUUAUGUAUUAUUUGUAUCAUUGAGAUCUAAUUUUUGUUCUUACAAUUCUUUUAAUAUUAUGAUAAAUGGACUACAUUUUUUGUUAU
This is an RNA transcript of Centruroides sculpturatus (bark scorpion), 914 nucleotides long. It is a transcript of the gene named transmembrane and TPR repeat-containing protein CG4050-like, with no coding region annotated. The transcript is spliced from 2 exons. NCBI's taxonomy places the organism in Eukaryota, Metazoa, Arthropoda, Arachnida, Scorpiones, Buthidae. The record is from RefSeq and is a predicted model, not a curated record.